Molecule: non-coding RNA, 2337 nt
Organism: Manis javanica (Malayan pangolin)
Lineage: Eukaryota; Metazoa; Chordata; Mammalia; Pholidota; Manidae
Source: RefSeq, a predicted model, not a curated record
UAAUCUACUGUGUUUUUAUUGGAAGCAAGCAAUCAGGAAAGCUCUGACCCACUGAGCAGCUGGGAAUUUCUCCACGGCAGGUUGGGUUUAGUCUUUAUUUUUCUAGCUGUUGGCUCCGCUAACAUGAUUCAGUGAAGGUCAUAUUUAAUCUCGCAGGGAAAAGCUACCUAAGCAGUUCUCAGGUAGGUUUCAGAAAAAAUAAAUUGCCUUGGAUAAGUCUGUUGCUUUCCACCCAAGAGUUACAGUCAGAGAACAAAUGAAGGCAACAGGUUCUUUGGAUUUCAAAAGAAUUUCGCUGCAUAUAUGUUAUGGCCUGAGGGUUUUUUAAUAACAAAGUUCUUAAUAACUACCUUACCAUAAAGUGGCAGCUCCCAAAUGUUUAUCUCCAGUUUAUCAGCAAAUACAGCUUAUUCAUAUAUACAGGGAGUUAUUAGUAUCAUCACUGGAACUCGAUUGUCAAAGGCAUGGACUGGUAAGAUUUUUUAUUUUUAAAGGUCUAGGUACAAAGGAGAAAACCGAACAAUUCUUCACCUUCUGGAUGUUGAAUCCCUAAUACAAAGUGACAAAUGCCAAUGUUCAUGUGUUCAACACAUAUACCAUUAGAGGCAAACGCAAAACAGAUCUGGCCAUCCACCCCGAGCUGGAAUUCAGCCUUCUGAACUAACCUUUGCUUUAGGGCUGAAAAUCAAAUCAACAAAUAUUUAUCUAGUUCUUACUGCGUAUCAAGUCCUGGUGGGGAAUGCAAAGAACUACGACAGGAUCCUAGCUCUCAAAUAACUCGCCCUGUAGGUGUUACAAAUGGAAAAAUCCAAGGAAUCAACGACUUUCGUAACAGUUCAAGAGGCUUGAAAAGAUUCAAGAUGUUCACAACGAAUCGCCAAAGGAACGGCACAUAACCGUGUGUUGCUUCUGAAGAAUUUCAGAGCAUUUUAUUAUUUUAGGCUGGAGAGAUCAGGUUUGUCCCUGUGUUGCUCUUUACACUUGGCUUCCUGUUCUUAUCCUCAAUUAAUAUGGCAGCCACCAGCUAUAUGAGGCUAUUGCACACUUGAAAUGUGACCAGCCUGAAUUCAGAUGUGCUAUAGACACAUUGGAUCAGGAAGAUUAGUAUGAAAAAAAGAACAUAAAUGACCUCAUUAAUAUUUUUGUAUUACAUGUUGAAAUGAUAAUAUUUUGGACACAGUGGGUUAAACACAAAUCAUUAAAAUUAGCUUCACUUACUUCUUUUUUACUUUUCUAAGAUGGCUACUGGAAAAUUCAAAAUCAUAUGAGUGGCUCACAUUACACUUGUAUUGCACAGUGUUGUUCUAAUUAAUAUUUUUUGGGGGGUAAGGGCUAUGCUUUGGCAUUCUGCCUUGGAAUUCCUGACAGUUACGCCCAACACUAGUCUCGUACCAAUCCAAAAAUGUCUCCAGUAUCUAUAAAGGGAUCAAAACUAUUCAAAAUUUUUUUCAGACACAAAUUAGGGAUUUGGAGGCUUCUUCAGUUAUGAAGAGUCAGGAGUCACACCCUAAUUGAGUCAUACUAAGCCAUUCUGAAAUAGGGGUCUUGCAAUGGUUGGUGUCCAGGGAAAAAUAAAACUUCCCUGGAGCCCUCAGGGCUCCUGUCAAACACCUUAGCCACUGAGACAGUGGAACAUAUAGGGUAUAAAGGGAACGUAUAUGACAUGAAGAGAGUGACACUGGCAUUCACUUCCCCUCAAGACACUCCACUAUGCGUGUACCAUGAACACUGGGUCUGCAGCAAGCUGUCUAAAUUAACUGUUCUGAUACCAAAGGAUAAUUAAACUUCUCUGGUGUCCUCAAGAUGGUGAAAUGAUUACAGCCUGGACUAGAUGCCUAAGUUAAGUUCCGAAGGUGCCAGGAAGACCUACCUUUCCGUACAUUUCAUGAGGGAUGAACCUCAGACGUUGGAGACAUUAUAUUCCAAAAGUGUCUUCUGUUUCUGCAGCGUUCAUACAUAAAGGACUUAUCUGAGAAGCAGGGUGACAUCUCAGACCCUCCACAGUUCUUGACAAAAGAGCAUGUGCCAGCCUCAUCAAGGAGCCAUGAACCUAAGUGUCUUCCAGUAGCAAGAGAUCAGAUCAGUCUGGACAAUGGCAUCUCUUGGCACUACAUGGCAAUCCCCUGACUGUAAAGCCUGGUUCCACAUAUCAAGGCGGAAAGAGCUCAACCAUGGCCAAGUUCAUACACAACGGCCUCAUUAGCAUUACCCUAUUUACUUCCCUAGUCUAACAUUUACGGGAGGUGAGGUCAGAGAGGACACUUGAGCAUUGUCUUGAGAAUAUUUUUCUCGUUAUAAGAGCAAUUGCUCUGUUGUAUUAAAUUUCAGAGCUAACAA